Molecule: transfer RNA, 59 nt
Filed under: Eutreptiella gymnastica
Lineage: Eukaryota; Euglenozoa; Euglenophyceae; Eutreptiales; Eutreptiaceae
Source: RNAcentral
UGUACCCGAAGCCGAAAGUGUUGAUGAUGUUCCGCCUGCCCCUGCAGUCAUUUACCUGC